RNAcentral lists this ribosomal RNA (390 nucleotides) under uncultured bacterium. Its description in RNAcentral is "bacterial SSU rRNA". It matches the Rfam family "Bacterial small subunit ribosomal RNA", at positions 28 to 416 of the family's 1533-position model. The record is from RNAcentral.
GACGAACGCUGGCGGCGUGCUUAACACAUGCAAGUCGAGCGGUAAGGCCCCUUCGGGGGUACGACGAGCGGCGAACGGGUGAGUAACACGUGAGCAACCUACCCUCAACUUCGGGAUAAGCCUCGGAAACGGGGUCUAAUACCGGAUAUCACUUUCCACCUCAUGGUGGGGGUUGUAAAGUUCUGGCGGUUGGGGAGUGGGCGUCGCGGCCUAUCAGCUUGUUGGUGGGGUAAUGGCCUACCAAGGCGUCGACGGGUAGCCGGCCUGAGAGGGCGACCGGCCACACUGGGACUGAGACACGGCCCAGACUCCUACGGGAGGCAGCAGUGGGGAAGUAUUGCGCAAUGGACGAAAGUCUGACGCAGCAACGCCGCGUGAGGGAUGACGGCC